This 23-nucleotide microRNA is filed under the name Mus musculus (house mouse). Its description in RNAcentral is "mmu-miR-6897-5p". Lineage: Eukaryota; Metazoa; Chordata; Mammalia; Rodentia; Muridae. The record is from miRBase by way of RNAcentral.
UGGGGGCAGUGUCACACGCUGUU